This 274-nucleotide ribosomal RNA is filed under the name uncultured bacterium. RNAcentral describes it as "partial 16S ribosomal RNA". It matches the Rfam family "Bacterial small subunit ribosomal RNA", at positions 523 to 796 of the family's 1533-position model. The record is from RNAcentral.
AUACGGAGGGAGCGGGCGUUAAUCGGAAUUACUGGGCGUAAAGCGCGCGUAGGCGGCUUUGUAAGUCGGAUGUGAAAGCCCUGGGCUCAACCUGGGAACUGCAUUCGAUACUGAGUGUCUUGAGUAUGGUAGAGGGAAGUGGAAUUUCCGGAGUAGCGGUGAAAUGCGUAGAUAUCGGAAGGAACACCAGUGGCGAAGGCGGCUUCCUGGACCAAUACUGACACUGAGGUGCGAAAGCGUGGGGAGCAAACAGGAUUAGAAACCCCAGUAGUCC